Molecule: ribosomal RNA, 1092 nt
Filed under: Triticum aestivum (bread wheat)
Lineage: Eukaryota; Viridiplantae; Streptophyta; Magnoliopsida; Poales; Poaceae
Description: partial small subunit ribosomal RNA
Source: RNAcentral
AUGAUUAUUGGAGUGAUACCUGCUGAAGGAAGGGAACAAGAUACACCAAAUGAGGUACAACAAUGGCGAAAACCAAACGAAGAAAGGGAAUGCCAAGUGUAUACAAGAAGGCGGCAAUCAAAAGAGAAACAAAUGCAGGGGGAGGAAGUAACUUCUUUGGAGCCUCACCAUGAAGCCUAUGAACCAGAAAGAACACCAUCCAGAGUGGAGCAGCCUGAUGCGAAUGACUCAACACCAGACCCACCAUUACCAUCUCAGGCUCCACAGGUAACUCCGUCAUGUGAUGAUAAUGCUCUUACAUUGGAUGAUCUAGAUAUACCCAUUGCCCACCGAAAACAACCUCGAUUAACUGCUGGGAAAUUGCCAUCAAGAAUGUCACCCUACAAUGUCUCCAAUUAUGUUUCAUAUUCCUCUGUGGGUCCUCAAUACAAUUCAUUUAUAGCUGCUCUAGAUUCGAUGGCACCACUACCACAUGACUGGCAGGAGGCAGUAAGGGACCCAAGGUGGAGAGCAGCAAUGGUUGAAGAAAUGACUGCACUCGAUAAGAAUAAUACUUGGGAACUCUCUAUACUUCCUGCAGGUAAGAAAGUUGUGGGUUGUAAGUGGGUGUUCACCAUAAAGCAAACACCUCAGGGCAAAAUAGAGAGAUAUAAAGCCAGACUAGUGGCAAAAGGGUAUAGUCAAACAUACGGAGUGGAUUACGAUGAGACUUUUGCCCCAGUGGCUAAGAUGAAUACUAUUAGAACCCUGAUCUCAUUAGCAGCGAAUUAUAAGUGGAAUCUUUUUCAGAUGGAUGUUAAUAAUGCUUUUCUACAUGGUGACUUGCAAGAGGAAGUAUAUAUGGAAAUCCCACAUGGGUUUAAUAGUAAGGAGACAGAGGGUAAGGUGUGCAGACUAAAAAAUCAUUAUAUGGACUCAAGCAAUCACCAAGGGCCUGGUUUGGGAAGUUUUGCAAGGAGAUCCGCUCACUUGGCUAUCAGCAAAGCAAUGCUGAUCAUACACUGUUUUUCAGGAGUAAUCAUGGCAAACUUACAAUUCUUGUGGUUUAUGUUGAUGACAUUGUUAUUACAGGUAAUGAUGAUGAGGAGAUAA